Molecule: transfer RNA, 73 nt
Filed under: Bos taurus (domestic cattle)
Lineage: Eukaryota; Metazoa; Chordata; Mammalia; Artiodactyla; Bovidae
Also listed under: 4 other names
Rfam family: tRNA
About the family: Transfer RNA (tRNA) molecules are approximately 80 nucleotides in length. Their secondary structure includes four short double-helical elements and three loops (D, anti-codon, and T loops).
Source: Rfam by way of RNAcentral
UCCCUGGUGGUCCAGUGGUUAAGACUCCUCAUUUCCAAUUUGGAGGGUGCAGGUUCAAUCCCUGGUCAGGGAA